RNAcentral lists this ribosomal RNA (434 nucleotides) under uncultured bacterium. RNAcentral describes it as "partial 16S ribosomal RNA". It matches the Rfam family "Bacterial small subunit ribosomal RNA", at positions 29 to 507 of the family's 1533-position model. The record is from RNAcentral.
AGCGAACGCUGGCGGCAGGCCUAGCACAUGCAAGUCGAACGAACCUUUCGGGGUUAGUGGCGGACGGGUGAGUAACACGUGGGAACGUGCCUUUAGGUUCGGAAUAACUCAGGGAAACUUGUGCUAAUACCGAAUGUGCCCUUCGGGGGAAAGAUUUAUCGCCUUUCGAGCGGCCCGCGUCUGAUUAGCUAGUUGGUUGAGGUAAUGGCUCACCAAGGCGACGAUCAGUAGCUGGUCUGAGAGGAUGAUCAGCCACAUUGGGACUGAGACACGGCCCAAACUCCUACGGGAGGCAGCAGUGGGGAAUCUUGCGCAAUGGGCGAAAGCCUGACGCAGCCAUGCCGCGUGAAUGAUGAAGGUCUUAGGAUUGUAAAAUUCUUUCACCGGGGACGAUAAUGACGGUACCCGGAGAAGAAGCCCCGGCUAACUUCGUG